Molecule: long non-coding RNA, 629 nt
Organism: Cucurbita maxima (winter squash)
Lineage: Eukaryota; Viridiplantae; Streptophyta; Magnoliopsida; Cucurbitales; Cucurbitaceae
Exons: 2
Source: RefSeq, a predicted model, not a curated record
GUUUGAUGUUUAUCAUAUCAUACACGCGUCUUUGUCUUGUGAUGAGCCUCUUCGAACUUGCUUCCAUUUCCCUUGAGUUCACCAAAUUUCCAUCCUAAGGUUCUAAUUAUUUGAUUACCACUUGCAGCCGCUUUAAUCUUCCUCUGUACAAUGAUUGGACUGCUGGUGGCUUCCGACAUUUGAGGCUAAAGCUGCGUGCAAAUGCUUUACUUACAGACAAGGACUCCAUAGGUAUCAAUUCCACCUUAUGGAUCAAGUUUCCUGUAAGCUGUGGUUAAACAUGAGGAGGAGGAGUCUAUUUAAUUUAUUAAUGGGGCUAGUGGAAGAAUGACAUUUUUAAUUGCAUCGGAUGCUUGGCAUGCUUGCUUGCGGUGCCAUCCUUCCCUUGAUGUUGAAGUUUCUCAAUAUUUUUGGCUAUUUGCAGCUCACGGGAGCUGCUUAGCCAGUUUACUUUCAAAAUUUCCAACUGUAAAUGCAAAGUUCAAUGAAACUUAAUGAUGAAAAAGGCUUUUUUUUUUUUCUUUUCUUUUCCUAUUUAUUGCUCUGUGUUGCAAUUUUUAAGGUGGUAGUUGAGAAAACCCUUUGUGAUAUUAUGAUUUUGCAGUAAUGGGUGAAUGAGCUUUGCAUCA